UACCGGGUGGCGACCGGCGCACGGGUGAGUAACGCGUAUGCAACCUGCCCGAUACCGGGGUAUAGCCCAUGGAAACGUGGAUUAACACCCCAUAGUACUUUUAUCCUGCCUGGAAUGGGAGUUAAAUGUUCAAGGUAUCGGAUGGGCAUGCGUCCUAUUAGUUAGUUGGCGGGGUAACAGCCCACCAAGACGAUGAUAGGUAGGGGUUCUGAGAGGAAGGUCCCCCACAUUGGAACUGAGACACGGUCCAA
This 251-nucleotide ribosomal RNA is filed under the name uncultured bacterium. RNAcentral's name for it is "partial 16S ribosomal RNA". It matches the Rfam family "Bacterial small subunit ribosomal RNA", at positions 82 to 334 of the family's 1533-position model. The record is from RNAcentral.